RNAcentral lists this ribosomal RNA (466 nucleotides) under uncultured bacterium. Its description in RNAcentral is "partial 16S ribosomal RNA". It matches the Rfam family "Bacterial small subunit ribosomal RNA", at positions 28 to 507 of the family's 1533-position model. The record is from RNAcentral.
GAUGAACGCUGGCGGCGUGCUUAACACAUGCAAGUCGAACGGAAAGGCUCCUGCUUGCCGGGGUACUCGAGUGGCGAACGGGUGAGUAACACGUGGGUGAUCUGCACUGAACUUCGGGAUAAGCCUGGGAAACUGGGUCUAAUACAGGAUAGGACGAUGGUUUGGAUGCCAUUGUGGAAAGUUAUUUCGGUGUGGGAUGAGCUCGCGGCCUAUCAGCUUGUUGGUGGGGUAAUGGCCUACUAAGGCGUCGACGGGUAGCCGGCCUGUGAGGGUGUACGGCCUCAUGGGUACUGAGAUACGGCGCAGAAGCCUACGGGACGCAGCAGGGGGGAAUAUGGCACAAUGGGCGCAAGCCUGAGGCAGCGACGCCGCGUUGGUGAUGACGGCCUACGGGUGGUAAACACCUUUCGCUAGGGACGAAGCGCAAGUGACGGUACCUGGAGAGAAAGCACCGGCUAACUACGUG